RNAcentral lists this long non-coding RNA (331 nucleotides) under Setaria italica (foxtail millet). RNAcentral's name for it is "long non-coding RNA (SITA_LNC003987)". Lineage: Eukaryota; Viridiplantae; Streptophyta; Magnoliopsida; Poales; Poaceae. The record is from RNAcentral.
CACUUGGUGGUAUCUAUGGUGUUCUGAACCAGAAGAGAGGGCACGUGUUUGAGGAGAUGCAGAGGCCUGGUACCCCGCUCUACAACAUCAAGGCUUACCUCCCUGUCAUCGAGUCCUUCGGGUUCUCCAGCCAACUGAGGGCUGCAACCUCUGGCCAGGCGUUCCCUCAGUGUGUGUUUGACCACUGGGACAUGAUGGGCUCUGAUCCUCUGGAGGCCGGCUCCCAGGCUGCUCAGCUGGUGUUGGAUAUCCGCAAGAGGAAGGGUCUCAAGGAGCAGAUGACCCCUCUUUCUGAGUUCGAGGACAAGCUCUAAAUUUUGGUGGUUUGUGC